UAUUGGGCGUAAGCGCGCGCAGGUGGUUCCUUAAGUCUGAUGUGAAAGCCCACGGCUCAACCGUGGAGGGUCAUUGGAAACUGGGGAACUUGAGUGCAGAAGAGGAAAGUGGAAUUCCACGUGUAGCGGUGAAAUGCGUAGAGAUGUGGAGGAACACCAGUGGCGAAGGCGACUUUCUGGUCUGUAACUGACACUGAGGCGCGUAAGCGUGGGGAGCGAACAGGAUUAGAUACCCUGGUAGUCCACGCCGUAAACGAUGAGUGCUAAGUGUUAGAGGGUUUCCGCCCUUUAGUGCUGCAGCUAACGCAUUAAGCACUCCGCCUGGGGAGUACGGCCGCAAGGCUGAAACUCAAAGGAAUUGACGGGGGCCCGCACAAGCUGUGGAGCAUGUGGUUUAAUUCGAAGCAACGCGAAGAACCUUACCAGGUCUUGACAUCCUCUGACAACCCUAGAGAUAGGGCCUUCCCUUUCGGGGGACAGAGUGACAGGUGGUGCAUGGUUGUCGUCAGCUCGUGUCGUGAGAUGUUGGGUUAAGUCCCGCAACGAGCGCAACCCUUGAUCUUAGUUGCCAGCAUUCAGUUGGGCACUCUAAGGUGACUGCCGGUGACAAACCGGAGGAAGGUGGGGAUGACGUCAAAUCAUCAUGCCCCUUAUGACCUGGGCUACACACGUGCUACAAUGGAUGGUACAAAGAGCCCGCAAACCCGCGAGGGCAAGCUAAUCUCAUAAAGCCAUCCUCAGUUCGGAUUGCAGGCUGCAACUCGCCUGCAUGAAGCCGGAAUCGCUAGUAAUCGCGGAUCAGCAUGCCGCGGUGAAUACGUUCCCGGGCCUUGUACACACCGCCCGUCACACCACGAGAGUUUGUAACACCCGAAGUCGGUGAGGUAACCUUUUGGAGCCAGCCGCCUAA
This 910-nucleotide ribosomal RNA is filed under the name uncultured Bacillus sp. RNAcentral's name for it is "SSU rRNA". It matches the Rfam family "Bacterial small subunit ribosomal RNA", at positions 552 to 1460 of the family's 1533-position model. Lineage: Bacteria; Bacillati; Bacillota; Bacilli; Caryophanales; Bacillaceae. The record is from RNAcentral.